GAUGAACGCUGGCGGCGUGCCUAAUACAUGCAAGUCGAGCGAAUGGAUUAAGAGCUUGCUCUUAUGAAGUUAGCGGCGGACGGGUGAGUAACACGUGGGUAACCUGCCCAUAAGACUGGGAUAACUCCGGGAAACCGGGGCUAAUACCGGAUAACAUUUUGAACCGCAUGGUUCGAAAUUGAAAGGCGGCUUCGGCUGUCACUUAUGGAUGGACCCGCGUCGCAUUAGCUAGUUGGUGAGGUAACGGCUCACCAAGGCAACGAUGCGUAGCCGACCUGAGAGGGGGAUCGGCCACACUGGGGCUGAGACACGGGCCAGACUCCUACGGGAGGCAGCAGUAGGGAAUCUUCCGCAAUGGACGAAAGUCUGACGGAGCAACGCCGCGUGAGUGAUGAAGGCUUUCGGGUCGUAAAACUCUGUUGUUAGGGAAGAACAAGUGCUAGUUGAAUAAGCUGGCACCUUGACGGUACCUAACCAGAAAGCCACGGCUAACUACGUGCCAGCCGCCGCAGUAA
RNAcentral lists this ribosomal RNA (515 nucleotides) under uncultured bacterium. RNAcentral describes it as "partial 16S ribosomal RNA". It matches the Rfam family "Bacterial small subunit ribosomal RNA", at positions 28 to 523 of the family's 1533-position model. The record is from RNAcentral.